GAGCAAUUGUUUCGUCCUGCAUGAGAUUCAAUCUUCAAUUCCAGUACUUGUUAUAUGGUGAUUAUAGCAGAUACGAUUCCCUUGUCCUCUCUGAAACUAGAACAGAUAGUAUAAACUUGCUAUGAUUAAUGUUAAUAUCUUGGAUGAUAAAAGGCUAAUUUCUUCUGGGAUUGUACCUAUGUACUCAAUUUUGUCUUUACACCUUCAAUUAUUUUCCUUU
Molecule: long non-coding RNA, 220 nt
Filed under: Gossypium raimondii (Peruvian cotton)
Lineage: Eukaryota; Viridiplantae; Streptophyta; Magnoliopsida; Malvales; Malvaceae
Description: long non-coding RNA (GRAI_LNC006175)
Source: RNAcentral